Molecule: ribosomal RNA, 497 nt
Filed under: uncultured bacterium
Lineage: Bacteria
Description: partial 16S ribosomal RNA
Rfam family: Bacterial small subunit ribosomal RNA
Source: RNAcentral
GAUGAACGCUGGCGGCGUGCCUAAUACAUGCAAGUCGAGCGAACAGACGAUGAGCUUGCUCCUCUGACGUUGGCGGCGGACGGGUGAGUAACACGUGGAUAACCUACCUCUAAGACUGGGAUAACUUCGGGAAACCGGAGCUAAUACCGGAUCAUAUAUUGAACCGCAUGGUUCAAUAGUGAAAGACGGUUUUGCUGUCACUUAUAGAUGGAUCCGCGCCGCAUUAGCUAGUUGGUAAGGUAACGGCUUACCAAGGCAACGAUGCGUAGCCGACCUGAGAGGGUGAUCGGCCACACUGGAACUGAGACACGGUCCAGACUCCUACGGGAGGCAGCAGUAGGGAAUCUUCCGCAAUGGGCGAAAGCUUGACGGAGCAACGCCGCGUGAGUGAUGAAGGUCUUCGGAUCGUAAAGCUCUGUUAUUAGGGAAGAACAAAUGUGUAAGUAACUAUGGACGUCUUGACGGUACCUAAUGAGAAAGCACCGGCUAACUACGUG